GACGAACGCUGGCGGCAGGCUUAACACAUGCAAGUCGAACGGGUGUAGCAAUACAUCAGUGGCAGACGGGUGAGUAACACGUGGGAACCUUCCUAGGGGUACGGAACAACUCAGGGAAACUUGAGCUAAUACCGUAUACGUCCGUAAGGAGAAAGAUUCAUCGCCCCUAGACGGGCCCGCGUCGGAUUAGGUAGUUGGUGGGGUAACGGCCUACCAAGCCUGCGAUCCGUAGCUGAUCUGAGAGGAUGAUCAGCCACACUGGGACUGAGACACGGCCCAGACUCCUACGGGAGGCAGCAGUGGGGAAUCUUGGACAAUGGGCGCAAGCCUGAUCCAGCCAUGCCGCGUGAGUGAAGAAGGCCUUAGGGUUGUAAAGCUCUUUUACCAGGGACGAUAAUGACGGUACCUGGA
This 411-nucleotide ribosomal RNA is filed under the name uncultured bacterium. RNAcentral's name for it is "bacterial SSU rRNA". It matches the Rfam family "Bacterial small subunit ribosomal RNA", at positions 28 to 483 of the family's 1533-position model. The record is from RNAcentral.